UGAAAAUUUUACACUGGCCAGAGAGUAAAUUUUACUCUAAUUUUGAUGGGACCAAAUGUUAUUUGAAACAGAGUUAAAUUCAACUCUCUAAGAGUUAAACUGACACUGUUUUUUACUAUGUACCUUUAUAU
Molecule: long non-coding RNA, 131 nt
Organism: Sphaeramia orbicularis (orbiculate cardinalfish)
Lineage: Eukaryota; Metazoa; Chordata; Actinopteri; Kurtiformes; Apogonidae
Exons: 3
Source: RefSeq, a predicted model, not a curated record